This 2550-nucleotide long non-coding RNA is filed under the name Solanum lycopersicum (tomato). RNAcentral describes it as "long non-coding RNA (SLYC_LNC000574)". Lineage: Eukaryota; Viridiplantae; Streptophyta; Magnoliopsida; Solanales; Solanaceae. The record is from RNAcentral.
UUCCUCAUCCAAUGAGCCGGAAAAACCCACCUCUAUUACACCGGAUAAUGAUAAAGCUGACGAUAAAAUGGUCGAGUUCGUGGAUGAAUGGGGAGAGAAGUCGGAGCCCGAACCCGGACCGGUUACGAAGUUAGCGGAUUCGGAUCCUCCGGAGUAUGAUGAUGAGUGGGGUAAUGGAAGUCCCGGAGUUGACGUGAGUGGUGAAGAGGACGAGAAGCUUCUAGAGCUGAAAAGGUGUUUGGUGGAUACAGUUUAUGGGACGGAUUUCGGAUUUCGGGCUUCAUCAGAGAUUCGGGCCGAGGCAUUGGAGUUCGUUUGUCAGUUGGAGGCAGCCAAUCCUUCUCCAGCACCAACUGAGUCUCCUGAGUUGCUUGAUGGGAACUGGAUUUUAGUGUGAGUUUUUUUGCUUCAUUGCUGGAUCAUUCAGUCACUUCUUUUACUAUAGUUCCUCCAUUUAUUACGUUUUGUGUUGUUUUUAUAUGAAACUAGCUGAGUUUUGAUAUCUUCUGCAAGCGUGCUGGCUUUGGUUCGGAAAAAAUGGGUGGUUUACACUUUACAGGACAAACCAAAUAACAAUCUCUAAUAAAUUGAUAUUGAUCUCACGGGGCUUAUAUUUAAGGUUAAUGGGUAGUUUCAGAUAAUCAAAUGACUUUGAUUUCAUUAUCUAUGGGUUAAGGCAUUGAUAGAAUGGGUACUGGUAUGCUUAUCUUGAGCAUUGACACCACAGAACAAGUUGCUCUCCCUAAUUCUAGGUGCAUGAUAGAAGUUAAUCGUACAAUGUAGGCAUUGCACCCAAAGCAGUAGCUAGAACUUUAUGAUGGGAGUUCACUAUGCAAGAUAGGUGCAUCAUAACAGUUAUAAGAGGGAUCUCGAGAUUGGCCUCUAAAUAAGCACCUUAUGAGUUGAGCGGUCAGACGGUUACUUGUCAAUAUACUUGCAUUCGGCUGUAUCCUCCAGUUGUUAACAACCAUAAUUAAAGACCAUGUAUCUUUGUUUGUCCUGUAAUAACAUGCUUUGGAUUUCCGAGAAUUUCAUAAACUAAUUAGCCUGGUAAUCUGGGAAUAGGACGAACCAAUGCUUCUUGGAUUAUUUUAAUCUUGAUGCCAUGUAUUUUCAACUAAGUAUUGCACUUUCUUCACAUCGCAACUACCAUUAAUCUAAUCUAAACAAUUGUCUGCAAACUUUAAUGUGAAAUGUAUUUUGUUUUUCCUUCAUACCCUUUUGGCUAGUCAAACUAGAAUCUAUUCAAGAGUGCAACAAGAAAAUUGUUGUAGUUACUGGAGCUUGAGCUCAUGAUUCAUAUUCAUUCUAUGGUUCACAUAUCACAGAAGAAAACCUGAAGGCUGAAGAUUGUUGUUGUUAUUAUUAUGUCUUUGGUUUUACUGGGAAAGUCGAGUUUUAGUAAGUACUGUAAUUUUAAAUGCUUGGAAGUGGUGAUAGACUGUUUUUAAUAGUUCUGAAGUACAAUUUUAUAGGAUUAAAUCUAUGAACUUAAAAUCGAUGACAUUUACUAUCUUGGUUCACAUAUCACAUAAAAAACCCUGAAGGCUUAAGAUAUGCCUUGUAAAGCUAUAUUUAUAGUUGAUAUCCUGUUCAGGGUUUAUUCGUCUAUAACAUAGAGUAGGAAAAUGUCAUUGAGGCAUAAAUGUUGAUGAUACUUGCUGUGUGCUAUGCAUUAUUAAAAGUUUAUUUCUUCAUAAGUUUAUUUUUAAAGAUUUUUGGUUGAACACAUCGACAACACCUUAAAAUAUGUUAUCUCCUUCAAUUAUACACAAUAGUCUUAAUAAGCCGUCAGGCCUAUUCGAUGUCGAUGUAUAUGAAUAAAGGGAUGAUUUGUAACUUAGCCCAAUCUUAAGGGACAAUUUUGGGCUUUUCCUCCUGAACAUUGUAACUUUAGUUGUGAAAUUUCAUGCAGAAACUGAUUUGAAGUAAAUGAUAAGUGAUGUAUCAGCAAAGAAUCUUAUUUUUCUUCCUCAAUCUGUCAGGUUCACUGCAUUUUCCGAGUUGUUACCUCUUCUUGCUGUGGGUAACAUUCCUCUGUUGAAGGUAGAAAAGAUUAGCCAAGACGUAAAUACAAACAGCUCGACUAUAGAGAAUGCGACUACAUUAUCAAGCCCUGUAGCCACCUUGUCCUUUAGUGCUACUGCCACUUUUGAAGUUCGAAGCCCCUCUAGAAUACAGGUAUACUCGUUGACUCCAUUCUGAUUUCCUUAGAAAGGUACUUGCAGCAAUUUUCUGCACAAAGAGAGAAAAUGAGAAUUUUGGAUCUAAUUAUGCAAGAUAUUGAGAAAUUGUAGGGGUCGAUUAUGUUUUUUUGGUUAACUUCUGUAGAGUAUGUUGGGAGUUUUUUAAUUUUUCCUUCCGCAUUUGGCUGACAACUGCUUACUUUUGCAGGUUGAAUUCAAGGAAGGGAAUUUUAAACCUCCAGAAAUAAAAUCGAACAUAAAUCUGCCGGAAACUGUGGAUUUGUUUGGGCAAAAGAUAAGUCUCUCUCCUGUACAGCAAUCUCUAGGUCCUCUGGAAAACGCUGUGGCAGGCAUAGCACGAACU